UUUCCGUAGGUGAACCUGCGGAAGGAUCAUUAUUGUAUAACCGAGGUGCGAGGGCUGUCGCUGACCCGAAAGGUCGUGCACGCCCGAGUGCCCUCACACAUCCAUCUCACCCCUAUGUGCACCACCGCGUGGGUCCCCCUUUGGCUUGUUCGGAGGGGGGCUUACGUUUUCACACAAACUUUGUAUGCAGUGUUGAAUGUAUUUUUUGUUUUUGCGAUCACGCAAUCAAUACAACUUUCAACAACGGAUCUCUUGGCUCUC
RNAcentral lists this unclassified non-coding RNA (261 nucleotides) under plant metagenome. RNAcentral's name for it is "partial contains small subunit ribosomal RNA, internal transcribed spacer 1, and 5.8S ribosomal RNA". The record is from RNAcentral.